This 497-nucleotide ribosomal RNA is filed under the name uncultured bacterium. Its description in RNAcentral is "partial 16S ribosomal RNA". It matches the Rfam family "Bacterial small subunit ribosomal RNA", at positions 28 to 507 of the family's 1533-position model. The record is from RNAcentral.
GAUGAACGCUGGCGGCGUGCCUAAUACAUGCAAGUCGAGCGAACAGACGAGGAGCUUGCUCCUCUGACGUUAGCGGCGGACGGGUGAGUAACACGUGGAUAACCUACCUAGAAGACUGGGAUAACUUCGGGAAACCGGAGCUAAUACCGGAUAAUAUAUUGAACCGCAUGGUUCAAUAGUGAAAGACGGUUUUGCUGUCACUUAUAGAUGGAUCCGCGCCGCAUUAGCUAGUUGGUAAGGUAACGGCUUACCAAGGCAACGAUGCGUAGCCGACCUGAGAGGGUGAUCGGCCACACUGGAACUGAGACACGGUCCAGACUCCUACGGGAGGCAGCAGUAGGGAAUCUUCCGCAAUGGGCGAAAGCCUGACGGAGCAACGCCGCGUGAGUGAUGAAGGUCUUCGGAUCGUAAAACCCUGUUAUUAGGGAAGAACAAAUGUGUAAGUAACUAUGCACGUCUUGACGGUACCUAAUCAGAAAGCCACGGCUAACUACGUG